GAUGAACGCUGGCGGCGUGCCUAAUACAUGCAAGUCGAGCGAACGGACGAGAAGCUUGCUUCUCUGAUGUUAGCGGCGGACGGGUGAGUAACACGUGGAUAACCUACCUAUAAGACUGGGAUAACUUCGGGAAACCGGAGCUAAUACCGGAUAAUAUUUUGAACCGCAUGGUUCAAAAGUGAAAGACGGUCUUGCUGUCACUUAUAGAUGGAUCCGCGCUGCAUUAGCUAGUUGGUAAGGUAACGGCUUACCAAGGCAACGAUGCAUAGCCGACCUGAGAGGGUGAUCGGCCACACUGGAACUGAGACACGGUCCAGACUCCUACGGGAGGCAGCAGUAGGGAAUCUUCCGCAAUGGGCGAAAGCCUGACGGAGCAACGCCGCGUGAGUGAUGAAGGUCUUCGGAUCGUAAAACUCUGUUUUUAGGGAAGAACAUAUGUGUAAGUAACUGUGCACAUCUUGACGGUACCUAAUCAGAAAGCCACGGCUAACUACGUG
RNAcentral lists this ribosomal RNA (497 nucleotides) under uncultured bacterium. Its description in RNAcentral is "partial 16S ribosomal RNA". It matches the Rfam family "Bacterial small subunit ribosomal RNA", at positions 28 to 507 of the family's 1533-position model. The record is from RNAcentral.